Non-coding RNA from Delphinapterus leucas (beluga whale), 7513 nucleotides. NCBI's taxonomy places the organism in Eukaryota, Metazoa, Chordata, Mammalia, Artiodactyla, Monodontidae. The record is from RefSeq and is a predicted model, not a curated record.
UCCGCCGAGCCCGCCCCCGCACCCUCUGGUCCCAGCUCCCCGAGCCACGGUCGGCGUAGCGGCCCCCUCCCUGCAACCCGGGGCUCGGCAUCCUGGGCGUUGAUCCCAGAGAGCAGUGAGAGAUGGUGCUCCGGCCUGCUCGUUCCGUUCCAAACCUCAGUCAUCGCAGCUGGAACAUGGGGGUUGUGAGUGAAGCAGCGUGAUCUCAGAGGCUCAAAGGGAUCCCAGACCCUGCCGCUGUUUCCCAGGAGCCCCAAGCUCUAGGCUGGCAGCUGUGCAGGAGACAUCACCAGGAGACCCGGGACAGGGGCCCAGGAGGAUUCGCUCACGAGGAGUACUCGACUUGGGGAAGUUCCAUGCCCAUUUGGAAGAAACGGAGGUGCAGAGUUGAGAGAUGCUGGACCUCCAGGAUGCACAAUGAGAACGGCUGUUGGAUGCCCACGGGGAUCUCUGGGCAGCCAUGAAAUGCUCUACUCUCUUCUCUUUUCCUUGCUGUCCCCGGGGCUGGAGGAGCACAGGCCUCCCAGUCACGGGGCCUUGGCCUUGUUGGACUCCCAUCUCCUUCCAAAGGUUGAGCCUGGGGAGCCCAGAAGUGAGAGGCGCCGGACUUGCUACUGCCGAUGUGGAAACAGGGGCAGCUGCAGCCCGGGUGGCUCCAGGUCGGGCGCCCCGACCCUGCCCAGAGGGGCCUAAGUGGGCCCAUCACCCCAGGCCCCGACCCAGGGCAGUGGAUGGCCCGAGUUAACCCCCCACUGCAGGCCCCCAUCCUUCCUGUCCCCAACAGCUUCCGCCAAGAGGAAGGGGCCAGGCAGGGCUAUCACUCAAGGCUGAGCAGGUGGUCCCGGAGGUCAGAGGUCCAAGGGUGGGAGCUCUGGUCUCAGCUCUGUCCUUUGCUCACUGAGUGCCUUUGGCCAUCCCUGACCUGAUCCAGGCCUUGAUUUCCUCUUUUCUGUGGUGAUCAAGGCACCCAUCAUCUAAAAUCCCUCACCCAUUUCUGCCCCAGUUCUGACCUCCCUUGAUUUUUCCAUCCCAACAGCCUCAGCUUUGGGGACAGGGUGAGCACUGAGGCUGGGACCCUCAGAGGGGGGCUUGGCAUAGGUCUUGACAGAGAGGGGCUUGGAGAGACUGGGGAGAGGGAAAGGCACGCCAGGUGGGGGAACCAGACUUAGAAGAAGGCAUGGAGGUGGGAAGGCCGGGACUGGGUUUGGGAGAUGGAGUGUUGAUGGGACAGACGGAGAGUGGUAGGCGACAAGGUUGAUCUGGAAGGAUUCAAAGCAGGAGAAAAAUUUUAGGAUCCUCUUUAUUCCUCAAAAUGUUAGGAAAGUGUCUGAUACCCCCUCACAUUCUUCCUCAGAAGAAAGGCAAUGGGGGUGGGGGGCAGGGCCAGCCCUUCCCAUCCAUUCACCAAGGAGAUGGGUGCCCAUGUGCUGUGGUGCAAGGGCCUCAGGAGGGAUCUGAACCUUUCUCCAGGUGUCAGGUGCCUGGAGUUCCACCAUCAGGGCCAGGCCUUAGGAUUUGGCAUUGCCCUGUUCCCAAACAUGUUUUGUUUUGUUUUUAAGCUGCUAUUGCAAGAAGGGGAGGGGAGAUGACUUGGCUUCUUGUUGAGUUUGUGGACAGCAUCUGACCUCUGGAAGAAGAGUUUCUUUGCAGGAAGGCCAAGGCCUGAGCCCCCUGGGGACUGACCAGUCCACGGACCCAGUUCAGCCACACGCUUGGCCCAGGAGGUUCUGAGGUGCCCACUUCACAAGUGGCUCCUCCUAAAUCUCUAGGCCUACCCAUCAUGGACAGCCAAGGGCUGGUUCCAGCCAAAGAGGCCGUGAGGAUCCCAAGACCCUGAGGCCCAGCCUGAGGGGCCAUCAGGCCAGCCUGGCCCCCACCGCCCUGUCCCCUGCCUUGGUGCCUUGGGUCAGCCUAAGUGCUGAGUUGGCGGCUCAGCAGCUACUUCUGCCCACGGAGGCCCAGUUAUAAAUAAGCCCGAUGUGGCCAAGUCAUCAAGUUCUGUCCCAGCUGCAUUACCUCAGUGACCACAGGUUGGGGCUGCCCAGAACCAGGCCCACCAGAACCUGCCUGCCCAGGCCAAAGGCUGGGCCAGCCUUGAUGCCUGCAGGGGUCCUCAAAUCCAGGGUUGGGGUGUCUGCAGCCACUCAGACCUGGACCGCCCUGGACACAGGCCACAGAGGGGCAGGGCCCAUCCCGCCUGCCCGGAGCCAGCUGCUAUUUACAAACCGAAACCGGGAGAAGUGAAGCGGCUGUGGCCAAAGUGGCUCCAGGCCCCCAGCCCCCAGUCCCGCUCCAUCCCCGGCAGGCCCAUCCCCCCUCCUCAUGGCUUCCUCUUUCCUUCCCCACACAGCUCCCCGACCUCCCACUGCCCGGCCAGGUCUCUCUGGACAACCUGCCAAUACUUCAUGGUGACCCCCGGCCCCAUGACCACUUGCCUGGGGGGGAUCCCCUUCUACUACUCACCCCCAAGACCCCAUCAGUCUGGGCUCCUUGGAGCAGCCUCCUCCCACCCGGGCCCAGCCCACCGUGGCCUGCCCAAAGCACAUUCCCACAGUUCUCAGUUCCCCUUCGUGGCUGGAAAAGCUCCAGCACCAAUGGCCACCAUGGCGCUGCCCGGCCCUGCCUGAGGGUAGCUUCUCCAGGGGACCUUGACCUUCAAGGGGGGCGCCAAGUAAUCUGGGGAGCUGUGGUGGAACUUAGGGCACCUGGGGCCUUAAGGGGUCAUGUUUCUGGGCAGGAGGCCCCAGCCAUCACUCUCUUUGAGUUUGGUUUCGGCCCAAUCAUCCAGCUGGCGUGGGUCACAGGCCCUUGUGCAGGUCAGAAUUGAGCUGGGACAGUCGGACACUGGGCCCGAGACCAUGGCACACUCUGCUUAGGAAGUGGCAGGCAGGAUGGUGCCGUAGCAGGGGCCUGUUCCAGGGAGAGACAACAGACAACAUAAGUAAUACUCACUUCUAAUAAUAGACGAACUCCCUCAUGACGGUGCAGAGGAUGUCAGUUCUUUCUGUCCCCCGAACAAGCCUGUCCCAUUAUCUCCAUCAUAAAUGGACAUGGGCUCACAGGGGAAGUCACGUGUCCCAGGCUACACAGCUAGAAAGUGUCUGGACUGAGAUUCAAGAUUUCCUGACAUCCAGUCCCCUUCUGUCUCCGUCUGACUGCCCCUUGCUCCAUCUUGUCCCUCAGUCUCCUGCCCGGGAGGACAGGAGUUUCCCAGCGCUGUGACAAGGCAGGAGCGGGGCUGGCCAGAAGCUUGAGGGGGAAGCAGGCCUUGGACACCAGAUGGGGUUCGUCAGUGCCCAGUGCCGCCUUCCCUGCCCCAUUCCUUGCCUCCCACUAAGUCCCAGCUGAGGCAGAGCCCUAGCCCCCCUCAGCCAGUCAGCUGGCUGCCUUUCACCUAACUUCUCUGAGCCUCAGAAUCCUCUUCUGUGAAUUGUCAUUCCACAAACACAGAGCACCUACUCGAUGCCAGCCCUAGGCUGGGUGCAAGCAAUCUCUAGGACUAGGGCAUGGCCCCUGUUCACAGUCUUGUGGAGAACGCAGAUGAGUUACAAGAUCCUGAGUACUCCAAGAGGGAAACUGCAGCUGUGAGACACCAAGAACAAGUGAUGAGUGCUUCCUGGGGUGAGAGGGUGCCAUUGGGGUGAUAGGAAAGCGUUCCCCAACAAAAGCCGGGGGACUGGCUCUCCAUGCUGAGUCACAGCCCUGUGCCUUGGCUCUGGUAGUUACCACGGUCCGAGUCAAGUGCCCUUCCUCCCUCUGGGCCCGGUAAACUCCUAUCCGUCUGUCAGGACCCAUGGACACACGACAGCAUGACCAGGCCUGGCCUGGCCUGAUGGCUCCCCACCUCCCUCUUCCCACGCAGGACCUGAGCACACCCGGAGGUCAGGCCUCCUCAGUCACUAUGCCCUCACCAGCCCCACCCAGGCAGGCAUCUGCUCCCGGGCUCAAGCCCCCACCGUCCUCUGCUCCGAAAAGCACCGUUUCCCUUUUCUGGGUGACCACACGCCAUACACAGGGAAUUUCCAUCUCAGCCUGUGGAGCCUCUGAUUCACUCAGGCUCACUCAGGACUCCUUCCGGGUCCGUGCCUCCUACUUCUGCACCUUGGGCUGCCCCUCACACCCACCCGGGACCCCUAGGCAGCUUCAAACUAAUCUUGGCCUCCACAACCGGGAAAUCAAGUCAGCCCCUCACUCACUGGCCCGCUCAGGGCCCUCCCACUGCCAUCCUGUGCGCAGAGACCCCUGCUCCUGGCACACACGCUGGGGCAGCUUUGGGCUGAGAGCACAGGCUUUGGGGUAAGAUAAGCCUGGUCCAACCCUGAUUUUGGCCCUUUCUGCUUUGUGACCUGGAGCAGUUUAAGUAUAUGCUCUGAGCCCUAUUUCUUAUCUAUAAAAUUGAGGUGAUUCCUGUCCCAUAGCUUUGUUGUAAAGAUCCAGUGUGCUGGGCCCAUGAUGGGAGCUCAAUAAUGAUUACUUUUCCUUCUUUGAAAAGGCCCCCUCAUUAUAUCACAAGGUCCCUACUCCAGCCAGACCUGGGCCCCCUUUCUCUGGCUGGCUUUCCCCUCCCGAGAGCUGGUUGCUCAGGCAGGGAGAAGGAGAGAAGUAUGGGCAGAGCAAAGGAGGGCGAGAUGCUGCUGUCUCAAGGCUCUCCUCUGCCAGCUUCUCGACUCCUCACAUUUCUCAGUUUUUCCAAGGAGGCUUUGGAGAGCCCAGGAGGCAGGAGCUCCAAGGAGCUGAGGGCUGCAGAGCUCCUGAGCUCUCGGGGACAGGGUCGAGCCUUCCUCCUCCCGAGGGAUGCCGGGUGUGCACGUCACACACGAACAUCUCACGUGUGGGCUCCUCUAAUUCUUACGGCCCGGUGAGGUGCAUCCUGUUAUUGCCCCCAUUUUACAGAUGAGGACACCGAGGCUCUGAGAAGUGACUUGCCCUCAGCCACGCAGCAAACAAAGGGCAGGGGUAGGAUCUGAAUCAAGGUCUCUGGAGCCAUACUCCUAAACUCCACAAGGCUCAGUAAGCAUUUGUGGAGGCCGAUGAGGGAAACAUGGACUAACUGAAACCCUACUGUAUACAAAGGGAAGGCUCACACAGAUUGUCUCUUUCUGCCCUCUGUACAAUGCUGCGGUCUGGGUCUUGUUGGCCCCUCUACAGAACUGAGGCAUCUGAGCUUCGGGGAGGGGAAGGAGCUUGCCCAGAGGCCACACAGCCAAUCGUAAGGAAGGAUCCAGGGGUACCUAGAUAGAAGAGGACGGUGUCAGGGGCUUCACAGAAGAGGGGGCCUGGAGGGGGAAAGUGGCUCCUGUCCUCAGUGAGUGAGCCGGGAGUGGGGGGGUGAUGCCCGUGGUGAGCAGGAGGAAGUCGCUGUGGGUGGCGGUGGGUUUGAGGUGCCGGAGGCUGAGUGAUGUGGCCGGGAGGUGAGCUCCCCGUCUGCAGGUCUGGUCAGCAGGAGACAAGGGUCUGGUGCGGGGGGGCGGCAAUGGGAUUCGGGGCACGCAGGAGGUCAGGCCGUUCUGGAAAUCUGUGCCUACUGGCCACUGGGGCUGGGGAGCAGGGGGCAGGAGCUGGCGCAGAGUGCAAGGAGGGACUCAGCAAGGCUGGGGAGAGAUGGAGGUGAACAGGGAAGGGAGGAUCUGGGGGGACAGCCUGGAGGAGGCGAGCCGUCAAAAAUGGAGGGAGGUCUUAGGGUGUGGGAGCGGGUGGGACUGUGAGCAAAGGCCGUGAGACAUUGAGAAAGAGGUUCUGGGAAUGUUGAGUAGUGUCUUCUGGCUGGAGGUGGGGGUGGGGCUGGUCCACUUGGGGUGGCGGAGGGUGGAAAUGCUGGCCGGACUCCUGGGUGCUGGGGGCUCCAGCACAGCCCUCAGAGCUUUGGACUUCAGCCUGUGAACAAGCCAGAGCCAAGGGCAAUUUUUAGGUGGGGAAACACCCAUGGGAGAAUCUCGAGAUAGAGGCAGCAGCGGAAGCCCAUGUCCCAGGGCCACUCAGAGUGGCAGUUACCUCCCACCCCCUGGCCAGCUGUGUGUGUCCUUGGGCAGCCCCCUCUCCAGCUGAGCCACGUGACCCUUGCCAUUAAAAUGGCACUGAUGGUAAAUUCACAGGGUCAUGGGAGGUGGGGUGAGUUAAUGCUGGUUGACUGCAUCACCUCAGCCGAUGCUGGGCCUUUCGCCUUGCCUCGUCCUGGCUCGCGGCACUUGGUGAGAGCCUGCGGUGGAUACCACCGGGGUCUCCAGCAGACCUGGUUUAAGCCUCGCCUGUCCCUCGAUUGGCUGAAUCAUGGGCCCCUUCCGAUCCUCGGUUUCCUCAACUGUACCACAGGGAUGAUAACGGCCCCAACUUCAGAUCUGAAUAAGAAAAUGAACUCUGCAGUGGUGGUCCUGUUUUCCCGGAAUCAAAACCAAAUUCCACACAUCACACAACAUCCCCCAGUGCCCUACCUGACCAGACCCUCUCCUCCCUCACCUCCUACCACUGGCUCUUUUCACACUGGCCCCUUGCUGGUCCCCAUGCCUGGAGCUCUUCUCCCAGGUGUCUGCUUGGCUGGCUCCUUCACUUGUUCCCAGGGUUUGUUCAGGUGUCCCCUUCUCCGUGAGGCCUGCCCUUCCCGCCCUCUUCACUCUGCACACGGCCCCCCCUUCCCCAGCUGGGUCAUCCUCUUUCGUAUAGCGUUUGCCGCCUUCUCACCUACUCUGCAUAUCCCCUGCCUUCCCUGCUCCAGAACAAGCCCCAGGAGGACAGGGAUUUUUGUCUGUUUUGUCACCUGGCCCGUAGAGGCCCUGAGCAAAUAUUUGUUGGAUGUCCUAAUGCACUAAAGAGCCAGCACUCUGACCAGAGCUCGGGGAGCUCGGAGGGGCCCAAGGAGCCUCUCCCAGUGUCUCAACUGUGAGAGGAAGUUGCAAGACGGCCAUUUCUGUACACGGGCUCAGCUUUUUUUGGUCAACUUGCCCAGCUCGUGCUCUGAGGCCUGAGUUUUCCCACACGCCCCGUCAAGCCCCAUGGGGACUGGUGGCUAGGAAGCGGGGGUGAGGGGAAUGCUGUUCCCUCCUUUUAGAGCUCUUUGGGCUGAGGUUGAGGGGUCUGUGUGUUGAGGGGUCAUGUCCCCCAUGUGAACACAGCUUCGAGGACACAGUGCCCAUGUUUCCUGUUGCCCAUCUACCCUGUGACUGCAAUAGCACCCAGCCUACCCCAUCAGCCACCCAGCCCAGCGGGGGCAAAGGGCACCUGGUGCUCCACCACCCAGGCCUGCCUGACCUCCCUGUCACUCUGCAGGGCCAGCCCUACAUGGGCACCCACUCGUCCAAUGGGGUGGGGAACAACACUGUCAUGCGCUGCUGGUAGGAGGGUAAAGUCGAUACAACUUUUAUCCAGGGCAACGUGACAAUAUCUCUAUAUUUAUCUACCUAUCUACUUAAAAGUUUCAAAUGCCGUACAGGACUUCCCUGGUGGCACAGUGGUUAAGAAUCCGCCUGUCAAUGCGGGGGACAUGGGUUCGAGCCCUGGUCCGGGAAGAUCCCACAUGCUG